GAUGAACGCUAGCUACAGGCUUAACACAUGCAAGUCGAGGGGAAACGGCAUUGAGUGCUUGCACUCUUUGGACGUCGACCGGCGCACGGGUGAGUAACGCGUAUCCAACCUUCCCAUUACUGUGGGAUAACCUGCCGAAAGGCAGACUAAUACCGCAUAGUCUUCGAUGACGGCAUCAGAUUUGAAGUAAAGAUUUAUCGGUAAUGGAUGGGGAUGCGUCUGAUUAGCUUGUUGGCGGGGUAACGGCCCACCAAGGCGACGAUCAGUAGGGGUUCUGAGAGGAAGGUCCCCCACAUUGGAACUGAGACACGGUCCAAACUCCUACGGGAGGCAGCAGUGAGGAAUAUUGAUCAAUGGACGGAAGUCUGAACCAGCCAAGUAGCGUGCAGGAUGACGGCCCUAUGGGUUGUAAACUGCUUUUGUAUGGGGAUAAAGUUAGGGACGGGUCCCUAUUUGCAGGUACCAUACGAAUAAGGACCGGCUAAUUCCGUG
Molecule: ribosomal RNA, 492 nt
Filed under: uncultured bacterium
Lineage: Bacteria
Description: partial 16S ribosomal RNA
Rfam family: Bacterial small subunit ribosomal RNA
Source: RNAcentral